CAUGUAGGCGGGUCUUUAAGUCAGGGGUGAAAUGCCAAGGCUCAACCUUGGAACUGCCUUUGAUACUGGAGAUCUUGAGUCCGGGAGAGGUGAGUGGAACUGCGAGUGUAGAGGUGAAAUUCGUAGAUAUUCGCAAGAACACCAGUGGCGAAGGCGGCUCACUGGCCCGGAACUGACGCUGAGAUGCGAAAGCGUGGGGAGCAAACAGGAUUAGAUACCCUGGUAGUCCACGCCCUAAACGGUGGGCACUAGGUGUAGGGCUCGUAAGGGUUCUGUGCCGAAGCGAAAGCAUUAAGUGCCCCGCCUGGGGAGUACGGCCGCAAGGUUGAA
RNAcentral lists this ribosomal RNA (330 nucleotides) under uncultured bacterium. RNAcentral describes it as "bacterial SSU rRNA". It matches the Rfam family "Bacterial small subunit ribosomal RNA", at positions 568 to 898 of the family's 1533-position model. The record is from RNAcentral.